Molecule: ribosomal RNA, 506 nt
Filed under: uncultured bacterium
Lineage: Bacteria
Description: partial 16S ribosomal RNA
Rfam family: Bacterial small subunit ribosomal RNA
Source: RNAcentral
AUUGAACGCUGGCGGCAGGCCUAACACAUGCAAGUCGAACGGCAGCACAGAAGAGCUUGCUCUUUGGGUGGCGAGUGGCGGACGGGUGAGUAAUGUCUGGGAAACUGCCCGAUGGAGGGGGAUAACUACUGGAAACGGUAGCUAAUACCGCAUAACGUCGCAAGACCAAAGAGGGGGACCUUCGGGCAUGACACCAUCGGAUGUGCCCAGAUGGGAUUAGCGAGUAGGUGGGGUAAUGGCUCACCUAGGCGACGAUGCCUAGCUGGUCUGAGAGGAUGACCAGCCACACUGGAACUGAGACACGGUCCAGACUCCUACGGGAGGCAGCAGUGGGGAAUAUUGCACAAUGGGCGCAAGCCUGAUGCAGCCAUGCCGCGUGUAUGAAGAAGGCCUUCGGGUUGUAAAGUACUUUCAGCGGGGAGGAAGGCGGUGAGGUUAAUAACCUCGCCGAUUGACGUUACCCGCAGAAGAAGCACCGGCUAACUCCGUGCCAGCAGCCGCCGUAA